RNAcentral lists this unclassified non-coding RNA (1724 nucleotides) under Bactrocera tryoni. RNAcentral's name for it is "myrosinase 1-like, transcript variant X1". The record is from RNAcentral. Lineage: Eukaryota; Metazoa; Arthropoda; Insecta; Diptera; Tephritidae.
UAAGUAUUUCCAUUGUUAUACCAUGCUUCGAAUCUAGAGAAAGAUAAGAAAAAGCUGACUUUAUGAUCUGUUGUAGUGAUAAAGUAAGCUGAGAUGAGGGAACAACACGUACUUCUUUUGUGCAUUUUCGUCUCCUAUGCGUCAAUUACUAAAUCGAGAUACUUUCACGAAGGGGACGAAUGUAAGUUAGAGCAUAAGGGAAAUUAUUCGAAAUUUCCGGAAGACUUUUCCUUUGGCGUAUCAACGGCAGCUUACCAGGUCGAAGGUGCAUGGAAUGAAGAUGGUAAGGGGCCAUCCAAUUGGGACACGCAUACUCACUUGCAUCCGGAACGUAUCGAUGACCAUUCAAACGGAGAUGAAGCUGCAGAGUCUUAUCAUCGUUUUGCUCAAGAUUUGGUCGCAUUAAAAGAACUCAAGGUUAACUUUUAUCGGUUUUCUAUAUCUUGGCCUAGAAUACUUCCUCGUGCAGAUACACGAGUGCAAAAUCAAAAGGCGAUUGAUUACUAUAAUAUGAUGAUCGAUAAGUUACUAGAAAACAAUAUUGAGCCAAUGGUAACAAUGUUUCACCAUGAUAUGCCAGAUGAGCUGACAAAGUUCGGCGGCUUCACCAAUGACAUCGUUAUUAAGUACUUCCGCUAUUAUGCAGAUUUUCUGUUCAAAACCUUUGGUGAUCGUGUAAAAAAAUGGAUCACAUUCAAUGAACCAUUCGUUUAUUGUAUACCUGCCUACGGAAAUGCGGUGUUCCCACCUAUGAUCCACGCUCCUGGCGUUGCUGACUACUUAUGUAUGGAUAACACUUUAAAGGCGCAUGCAUCCGCCUAUCGCCUUUAUAAAGCCAAGUAUUCAAAUUAUCAAAAAGGUAAAGUGGGCAUGGCCAUCAGCAGCCGUUUCUAUUACACUAAUACAACAGAUUUUGGCUCAGAAGAUGUUGUGGAUCGUGCAAUGCAAUACUCGUUUGGUUGGUUUGCGCACCCCAUAUUUGGAGAGUCAGGUAAUUAUCCUUAUACCGUUAUCGAAGACAUUACAAGCAACAGCAUGAAAGAAGGACUUGCAUGGUCUCGUUUACGACCCCUCAGCUUAUACUGGUCAAAAAUUGUAAAAGGUUCAGGAGACUUUCUAGGACUUAAUUAUUACAGCUCCCAUUUUGCCCAUACGGUUGAACCUCCAGAGGGUGAAAUUCCCUCCUGGGAACAUGAUUCACGCCUCAAAUUUUCGGUGGACAAGAGAUGGAAGCGUGCUAAGUCUGACUGGCUCUAUUGUGUACCCCAGGGAUUGGAAGAUAUCUUGAAGUGGAUCCGUGAUAACUACAAUAAUAUUGAAGUAUACAUUACGGAAAACGGUUGGUCUGAUGAAGGCAAAUUAGACGACACAAAUCGCAUUGAAUACCUCAAGUCUCAUUUGCAAGCUGUGCUGAACGCCAUAAACGACGGGUGUAAAGUUACGUACUACUCCUACUGGAGUUUAAUCGAUAACUUUGAGUGGAAUAGGGGCUAUACCGAAAGGUUUGGUCUCUAUUACCUGAACGUGACAAGCAAAAAUAAAGAGCGUGUUGCUAAAAAUUCAGCCUCUUAUUACAGGAGUGUUAUUGAAAGUCGAAAACUACCAUGAAGUGACAAUUUCGUGUGAAAAGCUGAUGUAAGUUGAGCAAUAAACUUACAAAGUUGAAAUUAAUAUAGAGGGUAUCUUGAAAUGUAUGUGUAUGUGAAACUACAACGUCUUUGCGU